AUGGACUUCUACAACACUUAUGCAAGAUAUGCAUGGUUUGGCAUACGCAAGAGGGCAAAACACAAGAAAAAUGCCUACAUUGUCUGCUCAAGAGAAGGGGCGCAAAAGCAGACUGUGUCAGAUUAUGACCGAAAACGUGAGAAGACAUCAAAAAGGAUUGGCUGCAAGGCAAAAAUAAGAGUCAAAAAGAGGAAGGAUGGCAAAUUUGUGAUAGAAAUGGUUGAACUAAAUCACAAUCCUAAGAUGCUGGAAAGCCCCGGGAUGCUUUUGCACAUGCGCAAAUACAAAAGAGAUGAUCCUUUGAUUGACCAGUUGGUGAAGGACAUGCAGCUGGACGACCACACACACACACAGAUGAUGUCAAGGCUAUCGCGUAUGUCCAGUGGUCUGCAGUACAUGGGACAUACUAGUCGCGACUGGGUCAACAAGAAACAGAAGUUUGCUAGAGAAGAGUCCCAAGAUGACGUGAAGAAACUUCUGGAUUUCUUCGAGAAGAUGCAAAAGAUAAACCCAGAUGUAACAUCCUAAUUUUCAGCCAAUGCAAGAUGCAAAGGAUCGUAUGAAAAUUCUGGAGACAGCGUUACAUUUGACAUGACAUAUAAAACUAACAAAUUCCACAUGCCGCUGGUAGUCUUCGUGGGAGUGAACCAUCAUCUACAAAUUACCAUAUUUUUUGUCACCCUUGUGGGAGAUCAAACGAUACCGUUGUUCGAGUGGACUUUCAAAAUAUUCCUGAGGUGUAUGAACAACCAGCCGCCAAUCUUCAUGCUCACAGACCAAUGUUCUUUGGUGAAGGCAGCAUUGAAAACUAUCCUCCCAGAUACAUUACAUAAGUUGUGUCGGUGGCAUAUCAUGAAGAAGUACAAAGACCACCUGGCCUUGCUGUACAAGGCGCACGAGAAACUAAAGGAUGACCUCAAUGCGGUGCUGAACCACCCACUAAUGUCGUCAAAAUUUGAACAUGCAUGGAAGGACCUCAUUUAGAAAUACAACUUGCAAAAUGAAGAAGUUAUGAGUUCGUUGUGGGAUGACAUGCACGAGUGGAUCUCGGCUUACUACAAGGAAUUUUGUGCUCGGAUGACUUCCACACAGAGAAACGAGAGCAUGAACCGCAUAUUGAAGAAAAACUUCAUCAAAGAGAAGCAUGAUCUCCAUCUGUUUGCUCAACAGGUGUGUUGGGGAACGUAG
Molecule: ribosomal RNA, 1188 nt
Filed under: Triticum aestivum (bread wheat)
Lineage: Eukaryota; Viridiplantae; Streptophyta; Magnoliopsida; Poales; Poaceae
Description: partial small subunit ribosomal RNA
Source: RNAcentral